CCUGGCUCAGGACGAACGCUGGCGGCGUGCUUAACACAUGCAAGUCGAACGGAAAGGCCCUUCGGGGUACUCGAGUGGCGAACGGGUGAGUAACACGUGGGUGAUCUGCCCUGCACUUUGGGAUAAGCCUGGGAAACUGGGUCUAAUACCGAAUAUGACCRCGCACUUCCUGGUGUGUGGUGGAAAGCUUUUGCGGUGUGGGAUGGGCCCGCGGCCUAUCAGCUUGUUGGUGGGGUAAUGGCCUACCAAGGCGACGACGGGUAGCCGGCCUGAGAGGGUGACCGGCCACACUGGGACUGAGAUACGGCCCAGACUCCUACGGGAGGCAGCAGUGGGGAAUAUUGCACAAUGGGCGCAAGCCUGAUGCAGCGACGCCGCGUGAGGGAUGACGGCCUUCGGGUUGUAAACCUCUUUCAAUAGGGACGAAGCGCAAGUGACGGUA
Molecule: ribosomal RNA, 442 nt
Filed under: Mycobacterium sp. Site4-B30
Lineage: Bacteria; Bacillati; Actinomycetota; Actinomycetes; Mycobacteriales; Mycobacteriaceae
Description: bacterial SSU rRNA
Rfam family: Bacterial small subunit ribosomal RNA
Source: RNAcentral